GACGAACGCUGGCGGCGUGCCUAAUACAUGCAAGUCGAACGAGAGCGACCGGUGCUUGCACUGGUCAAUCUAGUGGCGAACGGGUGAGUAACACGUGGGUAACCUGCCCAUCAGAGGGGGAUAACAUCCGGAAACGGAUGCUAAAACCGCAUAGGUCUUCGAACCGCAUGGUUUGAAGAGGAAAAGAGGCGCAAGCUUCUGCUGAUGGAUGGACCCGCGGUGCAUUAGCUAGUUGGUGAGGUAACGGCUCACCAAGGCCGUGAUGCAUAGCCGACCUGAGAGGGUGAUCGGCCACAUUGGGACUGAGACACGGCCCAAACUCCUACGGGAGGCAGCAGUAGGGAAUCUUCCGCAAUGGACGCAAGUCUGACGGAGCAACGCCGCGUGAGUGAAGAAGGUUUUCGGAUCGUAAAACUCUGUUGUUAGAGGAGAACAAGUGCUAGAGUAACUGUUAGCGCCUUGACGGUAUCUAACCAGAAAGCCACGGCUAACUACGUG
This 498-nucleotide ribosomal RNA is filed under the name uncultured bacterium. RNAcentral's name for it is "partial 16S ribosomal RNA". It matches the Rfam family "Bacterial small subunit ribosomal RNA", at positions 28 to 507 of the family's 1533-position model. The record is from RNAcentral.